RNAcentral lists this unclassified non-coding RNA (216 nucleotides) under plant metagenome. Its description in RNAcentral is "partial contains small subunit ribosomal RNA and internal transcribed spacer 1". The stretch from base 1 to 46 matches the Rfam family "Eukaryotic small subunit ribosomal RNA", at positions 1786 to 1831 of the family's 1831-position model. The record is from RNAcentral.
AAGUCGUAACAAGGUUUCCGUAGGUGAACCUGCGGAAGGAUCAUUAAAGAAUCGCCCCCGGUUUUUUUUGAAAUGGGGUUCUAUUCCCAAACCGUGUUUACAUACCUUUGUUGCUUUGGCAGGCCGCCGCUUAGGCGUUGGCUCCGGCUGACUGCGCCUGCCAGAGGACCCCAAACUCGUUUGUCUAGUGAUGCUGGUCUAUAUAAUAGUUAAAAA